CAUCAUUUAUAUUUGUAUUAAUUAGAUUAUGUAGUAACUUGCAUGUAUAUCUUAUUUUACUCUUGUAGGGCACAAGUAGCACGAGUGCGGUGCAGUGUGAUAUAGGAUCUGGUAGUGCAAUUGGAGACAAGGGAAAGAGAGAAUCCUUGGCUUCACAUCCUUGAUGACUACACCCAGUAUACCUGAAGAAGAAGAAGAGAUGCCUCGAGUAGAUGUUGUUUAUGAAAAUAUUCAAAACAUACCUCCUCUACCGAAGACAUACAUCAAGAGUCCUGCAAAGUUGAAGAGAAAACGUGGAGAUGAGG
This is a long non-coding RNA of Cryptomeria japonica (Japanese cedar), 305 nucleotides long. RefSeq lists it as uncharacterized. The transcript is spliced from 3 exons. The record is from RefSeq and is a predicted model, not a curated record. Lineage: Eukaryota; Viridiplantae; Streptophyta; Pinopsida; Cupressales; Cupressaceae.